CACAGGAAAAGGCUUUCCAAAGGUUUUUUCCAUUUUCCAAAAAUGUCAGUCUCUUAACCAUGCAACGAUGAAAAUACAAACUUCAGACAAGAAGUCUCCAUCCUCGCCUUUUGUGCAUCUUGCUGCCUUGAACACUCAGGGCGGCGGGCCACCUUUGAAGCAAGGUGGCAAUAGCUCAUCUGAAGCACCUACCCCUUUCAAUUUUUCAGGAAGAAAGAAGUUUGCACUUAUUAACUUCCAAAAAUAAAAGGCUAUUUAAAGUCAACAGCCUAAACUAAGCCUAGGUGGAGCUGGCUUGGUAUUUUAAUCUUUUGGAGCUACAGCAUCAGGAUUUUCACACAAUAGUUAAGAUUUGGCAGGAUUUUUCUACAGGAGAAGACACCUCAGAAAGUGAGAAUCCCAUGUUUCACAUGCCAGGGGAUGCCACCUCAAUACUCUCCCAAAUCUGGGGUAUUCCUGAGAUCAGAGCAAGUGUCAUAAGGUAAUUUAAGCAGGCAUAAAUGUAAUAUAGGACGUUGUAUACUAAAGUAGCCUGCUUUAGGGCUCUUACUGGUAACAAGUAAUCCUACAAUGACAUGAGAAAACCCAUUUGUCUCUCCAGUUGGGUUUGUGCUGCCCCUGCAUCUUUGAUUACUGGCAGCACACUAUCCUUCAUAACGAAAGUUACUAGAGUUGAGCAUAAGCACUCCACCAAGAGUGUGUUACAGGAGGUGUUUGACUCCACCAAGCUGCAGAGAUUCAAUUAAUUAGUCCAGUUCUUCAGCCCAACAGCCUGAGCUAUGACCACCCGCAGGGAGCCUGGCCAACAUUAAGUUGGUUUUCCCACAAGCCAGACCCAAGCAAAAGAGCGUUGCAUGCCCCUCGCUCAUCACAGUAACGAGCAGCAAGUGAUCGUACCCGUUAUUAACUGGAGAGAGUACAACAUCGGGCUUCCUGUCCAAACUGAACCAGGGAGAAGUUCCAGAUGUAACUGUUCAGACCAGCCAUGUGCAGACAGAGACCCAGGAGACAAGAAGCCAUUGAUGUUUUCCACGAAAAAUACCCCUGCUAGGACAUAGGACUGCCAAGAGAGGAUAAGACAGCGUUUCAGAGAAGCAAUUUACUUUGGUCUCACCUUGUAACGUGCUCCCUCC
RNAcentral lists this long non-coding RNA (1133 nucleotides) under Struthio camelus australis. Its description in RNAcentral is "lncRNA (ENSSCUG00000015150.1)". Lineage: Eukaryota; Metazoa; Chordata; Aves; Struthioniformes; Struthionidae. The record is from RNAcentral.